RNAcentral lists this unclassified non-coding RNA (387 nucleotides) under uncultured bacterium. RNAcentral describes it as "contains 16S-23S intergenic spacer region". The record is from RNAcentral.
UCCUCGUUUAAGCGAGGCAGUCUGUCCAGAGUGCUUCGAACUCUCGUUCAAGUGGCAACAGGACAUAAGGGUUGCGCUCGUUGCGGGACUUAACCCAACAUCUCACGUCACGAGCUGACGACAGCCAUGCAGCACCUGAGCAGGAUGGUAUUGCUACCUCGUCACCCUUUCAGGCUUCUACUACCUACAUGUCAAGGCCAGGUAAGGUUCUUCGCGUUGCAUCGAAUUAAGCCACAUACUCCACCGCUUGUGCAGGCCCCCGUCAAUUUCUUUGAGUUUUAACCUUGCGGCCGUAGUCCCCAGGCGGAGCACUUAAUGCGUUAGCUGCGGCACCGCAGGGGUCAAUACCCGCGACACCUAGUGCUCAUCGUUUACAGCGUGGACUAC